RNAcentral lists this long non-coding RNA (864 nucleotides) under Nicotiana tabacum (common tobacco). RNAcentral's name for it is "long non-coding RNA (NTAB_LNC002627)". Lineage: Eukaryota; Viridiplantae; Streptophyta; Magnoliopsida; Solanales; Solanaceae. The record is from RNAcentral.
UGAAAGCUUAUAAGACACAGAGACCCUUCCUCAAAAAGGGAGGAGCGGCGAUUCCGAUUUUGGCUCUUCUUCCUCAUUUUCUCGUGGGCAUCAGGAGAGAACCAGAAAAAAAAAACAAUCCUCUCUCACUCCUAAGAACGACCAGACCUCUCUCACUCCCUCCCCAUUUUCUUUUUCUCACUCACACACGCAAAGUCAUAACAAAAAUAGUUAAAAUUUCUGAGUUCAAGCUUUACACUCUAGAUUUAAAAAAAAUACAUCUAAAGAAAGAGUAAAAUAAGAGUGGUCUCAAUUUCUGCUGCACUACCUUGUGAUUUCUGAGAUUUUGAGCUAUCUUUUGGGCUUGGAAUUGAAGCCGCUCUUGCUGGGUUUGUUGUGGCUGAACAUUGGCUGGACUAGUAGUUGAUUCUUCAUACCUAGUUUCUCUUUGACCUUUAUUUGGUCGUGGAUUCUCUGUUUGAUUUCAAGUUACUAGGUAUGUGACUAUACCUUUGAGUUUUGUUAAAAUGUUAAUCAAAAAUCUGAGUUACAUGUUAGUUUGUUAUUUGAUAUGAGAUUUAUCCACACUGGUGUUAGUUUGUGCUUGUUAUAAAUAUUCAUGCCGUCACUUGUUUGAGUAUAAUACAGAGUAUUGAAAUAGUCUUUAAGAGUUCUGCUCGUUGGUGAGUUUAAUGCUUAUUUCCUAUCUCAAAUUCUGGUGGCCAGAUUUUGAAAGAGAAUAUGGCUUCUUUGGGGCAGCUCCUUCAAGUCAUUUUUCCUUUAAAAAAUGGUGUAUAUUAUACUGAUACAUGGGGUGAAAAUGAUCACUCCUUUAAUUACCUCCCUUGGUCUCUACUCUUGUUUAACUCUUGAAAUUGUUGUCGA